UGAAUUUGGUUGAUUGCAAUAAUGAAAAUUAAGCAAAGUAAAAUUGGUUUGAACUUUAUAGUAAUAAAAUUGUCAGCGAUGAGUUUCACUAGAUGACUAUCUUGAGUUAUCAACUUGAAUAUGACUAUUGAAUCGGCUUAUCGAAUCAUUACCGAAUUCUCUAAUUUAUUAUUGCCCUAAAUCCUCAGUGAAAAAAUCAUUAAUCCUAAAAUAACCCCUAAUUCCUUGGCGAAUUUAAGAUUAGAAUUAAGCAUGAUGGAACAAGAAUUCGUAAUUG
This 277-nucleotide long non-coding RNA is filed under the name Medicago truncatula (barrel medic). Its description in RNAcentral is "long non-coding RNA (MTRU_LNC002435)". Lineage: Eukaryota; Viridiplantae; Streptophyta; Magnoliopsida; Fabales; Fabaceae. The record is from RNAcentral.